RNAcentral lists this ribosomal RNA (492 nucleotides) under uncultured bacterium. RNAcentral's name for it is "partial 16S ribosomal RNA". It matches the Rfam family "Bacterial small subunit ribosomal RNA", at positions 29 to 507 of the family's 1533-position model. The record is from RNAcentral.
AGUGAACGCUGGCGGUAGGCCUAACACAUGCAAGUCGAACGGCAGCACAGUAAGAGCUUGCUCUUACGGGUGGCGAGUGGCGGACGGGUGAGGAAUACAUCGGAAUCUACUUUUUCGUGGGGGAUAACGUAGGGAAACUUACGCUAAUACCGCAUACGACCUACGGGUGAAAGCAGGGGAUCUUCGGACCUUGCGCGAUUGAAUGAGCCGAUGUCGGAUUAGCUAGUUGGCGGGGUAAAGGCCCACCAAGGCGACGAUCCGUAGCUGGUCUGAGAGGAUGAUCAGCCACACUGGAACUGAGACACGGUCCAGACUCCUACGGGAGGCAGCAGCGGGGAAUAUUGGACAAUGGGCGCAAGCCUGAUCCAGCCAUACCGCGUGGGUGAAGAAGGCCUUCGGGUUGUAGAGCCCUUUUGUUGGGAAAGAAAAGCAGCAGGUUAAUACCCCGCUGUUCUGACGGUACCCAAAGAAUAAGCACCGGCUAACUUCGUG